This 1948-nucleotide long non-coding RNA is filed under the name Malus domestica (apple). RNAcentral describes it as "long non-coding RNA (MDOM_LNC020697)". Lineage: Eukaryota; Viridiplantae; Streptophyta; Magnoliopsida; Rosales; Rosaceae. The record is from RNAcentral.
ACACUCAAGAUAGAAGUUAAGGGUUGUAAUGGGGCUUGGGGUGUUGGUUAACAAGGAAAGGAUAAGGAAAACAAACGUUCUUCAAGCAAUAGUAAGCAAAGCAAUGAAAUUGAGACUUAGAAUUCACUUAGAGUGCAGAAAUUAACUUUAAAACACAAGGGAAAGAUUUAAACAACUCCUUAGGGCCGAAUUCAUUGUUUUGGACCCUUACUUCAACAAACAAUACUUUGGAACUCUUUUUCUCAACUUUUCUUCAUUUUUUUUUUUUUUUCCACAAUUUUUUUUCUUUUUCUUUUCUUUGCCGUGCCUAUGGCACACAAUUCCUCAUGAAAAAACACUUCCCCCACACUUAUUUUCUGCCAACAUAAAUCAAAAGGGAAUUCAAUUUGAAUCAUGCUUUACUAUGCUUUAAGAACAAGGUAUGGAUGGUCCUAAUCUAGGCUAGGUGAGGAGAACAUGGGUUAACAAUUAACGAAGGCUAACAAGGCUCAAUGGGGUUAAAAACCUACAAAACAUAAUGACAUAGGGGAUUCAUGGCUUUUUGGCUAGGGUGGUGGUCACUACACAACUUCAUCUUGAAUAUGUGUUAUGCAAAUCAAUAACAUGCUUUGAAUGAAAUGGGCAUGAGUUCUAGCAUUUGGAACUAAAUGAUGAAACGCCUUCUAAGUAGCAACCAAGCAAAGAAUAAUGAGAUCAUGCAACGACUUAGAAAACAAAGAAUGCACAGAUUUUCACUCUCCAAAUAAACGUUAGGCUCAAGUCUCACAAGGUUGUAGCGUUAGUUUAAGUUCCUUCCUUCAAACAUGUUACAAAAACUGAUUUUUUCUUUUAUGAUUGCAUGUGAAUUCAUAAGUUAUAACCACAACUAAGCAUAAACAAAGAGUAAAUCAAACUUUCAUCCAUGUUAGUCACUUUCUUUAACAGCCAUGUAAUUACAAACCGAAUCCUCAUCAUUGUGUUGGAAGGUACCCUAAAACACAAACAAACACACAAAAACAACUCUUUUUGGGUUUUUAAAACAAAUUUUUCAAAUUUUUAUGUAAUUUUCGGAUUUUUACUUCAAAACACACUAAAACACAUCAAAAUUGCUCAAAAACACUUAAAAACAGCAAGGAACAAGUCUUCAAGUUUAGGGUGAUAAAAUCCCACGAAUUUGCAUCUAAAACACUUAGUUACCCCCCCACACUUAAAUCAAACAUUGUCCUCAAUGUUUCAAGCAUGAAAUCACACUAAACAAAAAGAAACACACAAACAGCAACUAAAACAACUAAAUAGGCAGAUUCAAACUAAAUAACAAAGGGAAGAGUUUAGGAACGCAAAUCUGGAAUUGGAGUGAUUCCAUGGGCUUCCUUUGUUGAAUUGCAUGGGCUGCCUCCCAAGUAGCGCUUUCUUUUACGUCUUGCAGCCGGACGAAGCUCCUUUGAAGGUUAUUGAACCCCACGGCAUGGAGGGGUGUUUCCUCUACACCUUGUCCUUCGAACCACUUCAUGCAUUGGGUCCUUGAAUGGAAUGGGAUAAUGAUCCUUUCGUAGUGUCGUGUUGUGCUUCUCUAAAUCAACACGAACUCUCCCACCAUAUUGCCUUUGAUUAGGUACCUGCACCAUACAAGGUAACAACCGAUUAGUUGAAAUGGAAAUUGAAAUUGGAUCAGGUGGCUUACCUAGGUGCGGCAUAGGAGUGGGAGUACAAUGGACAGAUGCACAAAGGUUGCACUCGGCCAAAUUUGGUGAUUUCAAGGUUGAGGCCGUGCAUUCUUUGUUGCUCACUCCAAUUCCCUCCGCGAUGGUAGUUCGAGGUGCAUUCUUCUUGACUAGUGUUGAACAUGCCUGCCCUAUAUUUUCAAUUACAUUAAUGGCACAACAAGAACGAACAUCAUUUAGUAUUCUCAAUUGAUUCAGGAAUCUUAAAGUUAAUCAUAUCACCACCAAAGGUCAUAGUUACGGCUCCC